Chenopodium quinoa (quinoa) is the source of this 1073-nucleotide long non-coding RNA. RefSeq lists it as uncharacterized. The transcript has 3 exons. The record is from RefSeq and is a predicted model, not a curated record. NCBI's taxonomy places the organism in Eukaryota, Viridiplantae, Streptophyta, Magnoliopsida, Caryophyllales, Amaranthaceae.
UGUCCCAUAUAAAGUACAAAGUACAUAAGAUAGGAAUAUUUGUUUUUUUAAAAAUUAGGAAGGGGGACAUGUGUCAACUUUAAGUGGUUUUCUCAUUCUCAUUCUAGCAAUUCUAUAUAUAUAUGGAUCCUUUUCUUCUGACUUCUCCAAGUAAGUUGGCUUUAAAAAAAAAAAUUAAUUCACGUUGAUCAAAGAUAUGAGCUUGCUUUGUUGAUCUAUACUUGAGUUUCUGAUCUCUGGCACAAAGACAAAAUUGUAUUUCAGAAAACAAUAAAAUCCAUAGAUGCCAUUAGCUCUCAGAUUCUCAAUUACAAUGACUCAACCCCAAAUGCCAUUGUGUAUCAUACAGAAUAUCUACGCACUUUCAUCUGAGCAUGCUGUCUUGAUCGAGAAUGAAUGGACCUGAGGAUUGAGUAAUUCAAGGACUUUCAGUAAGUCAAAGUUCCUUUUUUAUGGAUGCAGUAAGGAAGUCAAGAUCGGAUGUGAAAUCUGGAAGCUUUCAAGCUACUACAAAUACUGCAGGGAAGUUUUUGAGGAGAGACUGAGGGUUGCCCUGUAAUCAAUAUCCUUCAAAAGUCUUCUAGUUAAGGUAGCCAUCGCGUACAGAAUCACAAUUUGGGGCUGGUGUUAUGUUCAGAUUGGCAACUGUUAGAACUGUGUCUGCUGUUCGUGGAAACAUUGCUUCCCGGCUUCCUUAUUGCAUGAGGUCCUCUUUGGGUUUAUGAUCUGGAUUCUGGAAAGCUGGAGUGUAGAGGACCAAGCCUGCAACUAUAAUGCUUAUAUGAGGCCCAUUUGUAAGCUUGAAGAUGACACAGUCCAUAACAGGUGUGAGGACACCGGACACAGCAUUAAUGGAAUAUAUCUUUGUUUAAAAUUGAGGUUGUUUCACCUGAGCCGUAAUGUGCAAAUACACACACAUUUAAAUUAACUUUGUUUAAUUUGUGUUGAAAUGCUUAUCUUUGUCAGGAGUGUCGAAUGUUGACACAAGUACGAUAGACAAAUUAAAGAAUUGAAGUAACAUGAAUUGUGAACGUGACUUAAAGCUGAUUGAAAAAUUUCUUACGAAGUAAUAU